This 502-nucleotide unclassified non-coding RNA is filed under the name Melitaea cinxia (Glanville fritillary). RNAcentral's name for it is "misc RNA ENSMCXG00005019968.1". The record is from RNAcentral. Lineage: Eukaryota; Metazoa; Arthropoda; Insecta; Lepidoptera; Nymphalidae.
AGGAGGUUCUCAAUUCGACUGUAUUUUUAACCGACUUCCAAAAAAGGAGGAGGUUCUCAAUUCGACUGUUUUUUUUUUUUAUGUAUGUUACAUCAGAACUUUUGACCGGGUAGACCGAUUUCGACAAAUUUUGUUUUAAUCGAAAGGUGAUAUGUGCCAAUUGGUCCCAUUUAAAUUUAUUUGAGAUCUAACAACUACUUUUCGAGUUAUAUCUAAUAAUGCGCUUUUACUUGACGCUUUUUUCGUCGACCUACGUUGUAUUAUACCGCAUAACUUUCUACUGGAUGUACCGAUUUUAAUAAUUCUUUUUUUGUUAGAAAGGGGAUAUCCCUAGUUUAGUACCAUGAUAAGGAAACCAAGAUCUGAUGAUGGGAUCCUAGAGAAAUCAAGGGAAACUCUCGAAAAUCCGUAAUAACUUUUUACUGGGUGUACCAAUUUUGAUAAAUUUUAAUUUAAUCGAAAGCUGAUGUUUAUCAUGUGGUCACAUAUAAAUUUUAUCGAG